AUUGAACGCUGGCGGAAUGCUUUACACAUGCAAGUCGAGCGGCAGCGCGGGGGCAACCCUGGCGGCGAGCGGCGAACGGGUGAGUAAUAUAUCGGAACGUACCCCGUCGUGGGGGAUAACACAGCGAAAGCUGUGCUAAUACCGCAUACGACCUGAGGGUGAAAGCGGGGGAUCGCAAGACCUCGCGCGAUGGGAGCGGCCGAUAUCGGAUUAGCUUGUUGGUGAGGUAAAGGCUCACCAAGGCGACGAUCCGUAGCUGGUCUGAGAGGACGACCAGCCACACUGGAACUGAGACACGGUCCAGACUCCUACGGGAGGCAGCAGUGGGGAAUUUUGGACAAUGGGGGCAACCCUGAUCCAGCCAUGCCGCGUGAGUGAAGAAGGCCU
This 387-nucleotide ribosomal RNA is filed under the name uncultured bacterium. RNAcentral describes it as "bacterial SSU rRNA". It matches the Rfam family "Bacterial small subunit ribosomal RNA", at positions 29 to 417 of the family's 1533-position model. The record is from RNAcentral.